RNAcentral lists this unclassified non-coding RNA (204 nucleotides) under uncultured Eurotiomycetes. RNAcentral describes it as "sequence contains ITS1". Lineage: Eukaryota; Fungi; Ascomycota; Eurotiomycetes. The record is from RNAcentral.
ACGAGCGAGGGUCUACCCGGCCCGACCUCCCAACCCCCUGUUUACUCGACCACUGUUGCUUCGGCGGGCCCGCCUCCCUGGCCGCCGGAGGGCCACCCUCACCGGGGCGCACCCUCUGGCCCGCGCCCGCCGGCGCCCACACCUCAACUCUGAACCAUAAUCGUGUCUACAAUGCCUAAAUCUUUGAUUAAAUUAAACAACGCA